AUGGCCGCCUCCGCCUCUUGCCUUUCUCUUGUGGUGCUAGUGGCUCUGGCCACGGUGGCGUCGGCGCAGCUGUCGCCGACGUUCUACGACACGUCAUGCCCCAGGGCCCUGGCCACCAUCAAGAGCGGCGUCAUGGCCGCCGUGAGCAGCGACACCCGCAUGGGCGCGUCGCUGCUCCGGCUGCACUUCCACGACUGCUUCGUCCAAGGCUGUGACGCGUCUGUUCUACUGUCUGGCAUGGAACAAAACGCUCUCCCCAACAACGGGUCGCUGCGGGGCUUCGAAGUCAUCGACAGCAUCAAGACGCAGAUCGAGGCCAUCUGCAGCCAGACCGUCUCCUGCGCCGACAUCCUCACCGUCGCCGCCCGUGACUCCGUCGUCGCCCUUGGAGGGCCGUCAUGGACAGUCCCUCUGGGGAGAAGAGAUUCCCUAGAUGCAAACGUGCCGGAGGCAAACAGCGACCUCCCAGGCCCUACAUCUAGCCGGACAGAUCUUGAGGACGCGUUCCGCAAGAAGAACCUGACAACGGUCGACAUGGUGGCUCUCUCGGGCGCGCACACCAUCGGCCAGGCGCAGUGCGGGACCUUCAAGGACAGGAUCUACAAUGAGACUAACAUCGACACGACCUUCGCCACAUCUCUCCGGCCCAACUGCCCCCGGUCCAACGGCGACAACAACCUGGCGAACCUGGACACGACGACGGCCAACACGUUCGACAACGUCUACUACACCAACCUCAUGUCACAGAAGGGGCUCCUGCAUUCUGACCAGGUGCUCUUCAACAACGACACCACCGACAACACCGUCCGGAACUUCGCGUCCAACCCGGCGGCGUUCAGCAGCGCCUUCACGACGGCCAUGAUCAAGAUGGGCAACAUCGCACCCAAGACGGGGACGCAGGGGCAGAUCAGGCUCAGCUGCUCCAGGGUGAACUCGUGA
RNAcentral lists this ribosomal RNA (939 nucleotides) under Triticum aestivum (bread wheat). RNAcentral's name for it is "partial small subunit ribosomal RNA". The record is from RNAcentral. Lineage: Eukaryota; Viridiplantae; Streptophyta; Magnoliopsida; Poales; Poaceae.